AUCGCUUCUUGGCCUUUUGGCUAAGAUCAAGCGUAGCCUAAGAAGUCUUCUACUAGCAAAGAAUGCAGUACAAUGCUUUUGAAUAAGUAAUGAAUUACAGUAUCUCUCUUCAACUUCAUAAUUAUUUCAUAACUGUAUUAUUGGUUUUACGUAAU
Molecule: non-coding RNA, 155 nt
Organism: Podarcis lilfordi (Lilford's wall lizard)
Lineage: Eukaryota; Metazoa; Chordata; Lepidosauria; Squamata; Lacertidae
Source: the annotation of a GenBank genome assembly